GAAGAGGAGAGGUUUAAAAGGAAGAGAUGAAUUUCUUUGGACAAGAUAAAAAUCAUCCUUAACAUUUAUCUAGAGCUUGAAAGAAUCAUUGCACGGAAAUCAUUGCAUAGAAAUCAGAGAGUGGAGGGGAAAAAGAAAUUGUAUGAGAACACUUCCCCACUGUGGCAUUUCCAAUUGAAGCCUACCCAGAAACCCUGGAAAUAAUCAGAGGAAAGCAGAGAUAACAGGCCUCGCCAUGUCCAGCCUGCCUUCUCUGCACAGAAUCCUGUUCGUCUUUCUGGUUCUGACAGAAUGUCUGGCAACCAGACUUUCUGAAUCAGUGUUGUUUCUGCCCUGCUGCUCCCGAGGUGCUCGUGUCCAGGCAAAGAGUGAAAUAGAAAGAAUGGACGCUGACUUAACCAGUCGGUUGAGGUUCCAGAAAGAUCCCGGCUUCCUCUCCCCUCUGAUUGCCUUUUCCCGCAGCCCUAGAUGUGCUUUCCACGCACGCGGAUCGCCUCUGACCGACCCCGCAACUGUAUUUCCUCAAGCAGCUGGUUUUGGGACGGAUCCUGCACGACUCAAGGCAACUUCUGGCUUCCUGCUGGAAAGAUUACAAAAUGAAUCCAGGAGACAAUGAGCCGGCCCAAGACUUCAUGGAAUAGUCACAGGCUUGCUCUAGUCUCAGGUGUCCCUUGGCCAGGGGGCCUUUCCCGGGUUCCCCUCCAGGGUCACCAGCACAGUCGCAAAUUUCUUGCUCGGAGCUGGCUCGUUCUAUGAAGCAUUUCAGGAACACUAGUGGCUGCCGAUGAUGGAGACUUUUGUUCCUGUGUAGCCCUGAUGGAAAGAAAGCUCUCUGGAAAGGGAUUAUAGCAUGGACUGUAAUGGCAUUGCUUAGCGUGGUUGUUAUUUUGAAAUGUGUCCUGGAGUAAUAAUAUAUUUCAGCACUCAGUUUAGAUUUCACAUUCUCAAGCAAAAUCAUGUCUAGUAAGGAGGGAGAAGCUCUCAUUCUGCCCCUGGAAGCUCUCGUUCUGAUGUCAUGCCUACAGUCCUAUCUGUUCCUAGAGGUUAUUUAAAUGUGUCCUGAGAUAAUGAGUUGC
Ailuropoda melanoleuca (giant panda) is the source of this 1076-nucleotide long non-coding RNA. RefSeq lists it as uncharacterized. NCBI's taxonomy places the organism in Eukaryota, Metazoa, Chordata, Mammalia, Carnivora, Ursidae. The transcript has 3 exons. The record is from RefSeq and is a predicted model, not a curated record.